UACGAAGGGGGCUAGCGUUGCUCGGAAUCACUGGGCGUAAAGGGUGCGUAGGCGGGUUUCUAAGUCAGAGGUGAAAGCCUGGAGCUCAACUCCAGAACUGCCUUCGAUACUGUAGAGCUUGAGUUCGGGAGAGGUGAGUGGAACUGCGAGUGUAGAGGUGAAAUUCGUAGAUAUUCGCAAGAACACCAGUGGCGAAGGCGGCUCACUGGCCCGAUACUGACGCUGAGGUGCGAAAGCGUGGGGAGCAAACAGGG
RNAcentral lists this ribosomal RNA (254 nucleotides) under uncultured bacterium. RNAcentral describes it as "partial 16S ribosomal RNA". It matches the Rfam family "Bacterial small subunit ribosomal RNA", at positions 524 to 777 of the family's 1533-position model. The record is from RNAcentral.